RNAcentral lists this ribosomal RNA (564 nucleotides) under uncultured bacterium. RNAcentral describes it as "partial 16S ribosomal RNA". It matches the Rfam family "Bacterial small subunit ribosomal RNA", at positions 355 to 940 of the family's 1533-position model. The record is from RNAcentral.
UGGGGAAUAUUGCACAAUGGGCGAAAGCCUGAUGCAGCAACGCCGCGUGAGUGAUGAAGGCCUUCGGGUUGUAAAGCUCUGUCUUUUGGGACGAUAAUGACGGUACCAAAGGAGGAAGCCACGGCUAACUACGUGCCAGCAGCCGCGGUAAUACGUAGGUGGCAAGCGUUGUCCGGAUUUACUGGGCGUAAAGGAUGCGUAGGCGGAUUUUUAAGUGAGAUGUGAAAACCCUAAGCUUAACUUGGGGACUGCAUUUCAUACUGGAAAUCUAGAGUGCGGGAGAGGAGAAUGGAAUUCCUAGUGUAGCGGUGAAAUGCGUAGAGAUUAGGAAGAACACCAGUGGCGAAGGCGAUUCUCUGGACCGUAACUGACGCUGAGGCAUGAAAGCGUGGGUAGCAAACAGGAUUAGAUACCCUGGUAGUCCACGCCGUAAACGAUGAGUACUAGGUGUAGGAGGUAUCGACCCCUUCUGUGCCGCAGUUAACACAAUAAGUACUCCGCCUGGGAAGUACGAUCGCAAGAUUAAAACUCAAAUGAAUUGACGGGGUCAUAGCUGUUUUUCCU